UAUUUAUGAUAUGGACACGUCAAGAGUAGCCCAUUGAAUCACUCCCAUGCUUCGAGAAAUUGUUCGUCUUUUUUCGGAGUAAAUUCUGAGAUUUUCCUAUGAAUGG
Molecule: small nucleolar RNA, 106 nt
Filed under: Citrus sinensis (sweet orange)
Lineage: Eukaryota; Viridiplantae; Streptophyta; Magnoliopsida; Sapindales; Rutaceae
Description: Plant small nucleolar RNA R71
Rfam family: Plant small nucleolar RNA R71
About the family: R71 is a member of the C/D box family of snoRNAs containing the C (UGAUGA) and D (CUGA) box motifs. Multiple nearly identical copies of this snoRNA have been identified in Arabidopsis, and it is thought to function as a 2'-O-ribose methylation guide for 18S ribosomal RNA.
Source: Rfam by way of RNAcentral